GGGCCGUUAGCUCAACUGGCAGAGCGGCUGGCUCUUAACCAGCGGGUUGGGGGUUCGAGUCCCUCACGGCCCUCCA
This 76-nucleotide transfer RNA is filed under the name Armatimonadota bacterium. RNAcentral's name for it is "Armatimonadetes bacterium (groundwater metagenome) tRNA-Lys". It matches the Rfam family "tRNA". From Rfam's summary of the family: Transfer RNA (tRNA) molecules are approximately 80 nucleotides in length. Their secondary structure includes four short double-helical elements and three loops (D, anti-codon, and T loops). The record is from RNAcentral. Lineage: Bacteria; Bacillati; Armatimonadota.